Molecule: small RNA, 300 nt
Filed under: Histoplasma ohiense
Lineage: Eukaryota; Fungi; Ascomycota; Eurotiomycetes; Onygenales; Ajellomycetaceae
Description: hypothetical lncRNA
Source: RNAcentral
GCCUGGCUUAUUUUUGACACGGCUGUACACACCCUAGGUACGUAUACAAUUUGACUACCUACAAAGGUAGAUAUGCGAACUCGACUACGGAGUAUUCAGGUCUGCAUAGGGUUGGUGCCUGCAUGCUGCCUUCAACCUGUUAUUGGCACAUGAGGUGUGGUUCCUUGGCUUUGUAACCUUGUUGUCGGAACUGAAUAAAGUCCGAAUAUUGACCCAAAUACUGAAUAUCAGAUAAAUUGAAUUGAUUAUUCUAACUCCAAUAAUUAAUUACAUGAUAAUCAGGCAGUAUUUAUAAGAAAA